Molecule: ribosomal RNA, 1409 nt
Filed under: uncultured bacterium
Lineage: Bacteria
Description: partial 16S ribosomal RNA
Rfam family: Bacterial small subunit ribosomal RNA
Source: RNAcentral
GAUGAACGCUAGCGGCAGGCCUAAUACAUGCAAGUCGAACGAUACCAGGGAGCUUGCUCUCUGGGAAAGUGGCGCACGGGUGCGUAACGCGUAUGCAACCUACCUUAAUCAGGGGGAUAGCCUCUCGAAAGAGAGAUUAACACCGCAUAAAAUCACAGUCUGGCAUCAGACAAUGAUCAAAUAUUUAUAGGAUUAAGAUGGGCAUGCGUGACAUUAGUUAGUUGGUGAGGUAACGGCUCACCAAGACUACGAUGUCUAGGGGAUCUGAGAGGAUGACCCCCCACACUGGUACUGAGACACGGACCAGACUCCUACGGGAGGCAGCAGUAAGGAAUAUUGGUCAAUGGAGGCAACUCUGAACCAGCCAUGCCGCGUGCAGGAAGACGGCCCUACGGGUUGUAAACUGCUUUUAUACGGGAAUAAACCUCUUUACGUGUAGAGAGUUGAAUGUACUGUAAGAAUAAGGAUCGGCUAACUCCGUGCCAGCAGCCGCGGUAAUACGGAGGAUCCAAGCGUUAUCCGGAUUUAUUGGGUUUAAAGGGUGCGUAGGCGGCCUAUUAAGUCAGGGGUGAAAGACGGUGGCUCAACCAUCGCAGUGCCUUUGAUACUGAUGGGCUUGAUUACACUUGAGGUAGGCGGAAUGUGACAAGUAGCGGGUGAAAAUGCAUAGAUAUGUCACAGAACACCCAAAUUGCGAAGGCAGCUUUACUAAGGUGUCAAUGACGCUGAGGCACGAAAGCGUGGGGGAUCAAACAGGAUUAGAUACCCUGGUAGUCCACGCCCUAAACGAUGAACACUAGGUGUGGGGGGAGUCGAAUCCCUCCGUGCCGAAGCCAACGCGUUAAGUGUUCCGCCUGGGGAGUACGGCCGCAAGGCUAAAACUCAAAAGAAUUGACGGGGGCCCGCACAAGCAGCGGAGCAUGUUCUUUAAUUCGAUGCAACGCGAAGAACCUUACCUGGGCUUGACAUGGCACUGCAAGCGCACGGAAACGUGUGACCUUCGAGGGUGUGCCACAGAUGCUGCAUGGCUGUCGUCAGCUCGUGUCGUGAGAUGUUGGGUUAAGUCCCGCAACGAGCGCAACCCUCGCCUUUAGUUGCCAUCAUUAAGUUGGGCACUCUAGAGGGACUGCCGGUGAUAAGCCGGAGGAAGGUGGGGAUGACGUCAAGUCCUCAUGGCCCUUACGGGUUGGGCUACACACGUGCUACAAUGGCGGUGACAGUGGGCAGCCACUCCGCGAGGAGGAGCUAAUCCUGAAAAGCCGUCUCAGUUCGGAUUGCACUCUGCAACUCGGGUGCAUGAAGUUGGAAUCGCUAGUAAUCGCGGAUCAGCACGCCGCGGUGAAUACGUUCCCGGGCCUUGUACACACCGCCCGUCACACCAUGGGAGUUGGGUCUACCCGAAGACGGUG